UGGCUCAGAACGAACGCUGGCGGCAUGCCUAACACAUGCAAGUCGAACGCUCUGGUGGCUUUGGCCAUCAGGGAGUGGCGCACGGGUGAGUAGCGCGUGGGAACCUGCCUUUCAGUGGGGGAUAACCGCGGGAAACUGCGGCUAAUACCGCAUACGUCCGGGGCGAAAGCUUCGGGGAAAGAUUUAUCGCUGAAAGAGGGGCCCGCGUCGGAUUAGCUGGUUGGUGGGGUAACGGCCUACCAAGGCGAUGAUCCGUAGCUGGUCUGAGAGGAUGAUCAGCCACACUGGGACUGAGACACGGCCCAGGAUCCUACGGGAGGCAGCAGUGGG
RNAcentral lists this ribosomal RNA (330 nucleotides) under uncultured Rhodospirillales bacterium. Its description in RNAcentral is "bacterial SSU rRNA". It matches the Rfam family "Bacterial small subunit ribosomal RNA", at positions 20 to 358 of the family's 1533-position model. Lineage: Bacteria; Pseudomonadati; Pseudomonadota; Alphaproteobacteria; Rhodospirillales. The record is from RNAcentral.